Molecule: ribosomal RNA, 402 nt
Filed under: uncultured bacterium
Lineage: Bacteria
Description: bacterial SSU rRNA
Rfam family: Bacterial small subunit ribosomal RNA
Source: RNAcentral
UAGGGAAUAUUAGAAAUGGACGAAAGUCUGAUCUAGCAACACCGCGUGUGCGAUGAAGGCCUUCGGGUUGUAAAGCACUUUUUGGAAGGAUUAGGAAGGAAUGUACUUCCAGAAUAAGUCUCGGCCAACUACGCGCCAGCAGCCGCGGUAACACGUAGGAGGCGAACGUUAUCCGGAUUUACUGGGCGUAAAGCGCGUGUAGGUGGUUCUGUAAGUAGGGCGUGAAAGCUCCUGGCUCAACUGGGAGAGGCCGUUCUAAACUGCAGAGCUAGAGGAUGGUAGAGGGAGGUGGAAUUCCGGGUGUAGCGGUGGAAUGCGCAGAUAUCCGGAGGAACACCAGUGGCGAGGCGGCCUCCUGGACCAUUCCUGACACUCAGACGCGAAAGCUAGGGUAGCAAACGG